UUCGCUAGCUUCCAGGUUUUAUUCGCCGAGUUAAAAUUAAUAGAUAUAGAUAUAAAAAAAUUAUUGCAAUAUUAAUUUGGCAUCACUUUAAGUCUUUUAAAUAAUUGUGCUUUAGAAUUUGUUCAUUGCAUUGUUUACUACUUAGUAUAAUAUUGUUGUUUUUGUUAAAUUAAAUUGUAUCUAAUCAUAAUAUUUGUGUGUUUUUCACAGCCACAAACAUGUUCAGUCCCGCUGUUGCGAGGAAAUUAGUUUUUUUUCUCAGAUUCCAGCCGAUCUUUCUCCCGAUUGAUCCCCUCAGUUCGACGGAUACAGAGGCCUACCCGGUUUACUGCUAGUCUUAGGAAUCGACUUCAGCAGGCUCAGCCAUUCAGAAUAUUUACAGGUGCUGUAUGUGAUGUUGCAGAAGUGACUUGGUGUUUUGUGUUAUACACAACCCAUUCUGAACAUUGAUGUGUAUCAUGUUGCAGAAGUGGGUUGGUGUUUCAUUUGUUCAUUCUGAACAUUGCCACUUAGUAAUGUAUGAGUCGUACUUACCAUAGCAUUAUAAAUGCAAAGGAUUUUUUAAAAAUAUUUGGAGAUGGCUAAAGAUGGUUUAAGAGUCUAGUUGGGUUACAGCCACCCCAAGAUGAUCAACCUCUUGAUAAAUGCAAGAAGGGAAUAUUGUUCUUUUUUUAAAAAGUUUACAAUGAUAAAGAAGAUGAUGGAUGGUGUUUUCUUUUUGAAGACAAGCGACAUAAAGUUCAAGUAGUUAAACAUAUAUACAUAUUUUGUUCUCAUACCCUGACUGAUGACCAGCUAUGGUUUCAUACAUGUACAAAUUUUUAAAGUACAUGAAAGGCCUAUUGAGAACAAAAGUACAUUUUGAAAUGCUAACAAUGAGGCCGAAACCUUUGUAGUGACAUUGUUUUCUUCUGUCUUUCUUGAUUUCUGAACAAUGCACAGUGCAUCCACUACUUAUUUAUUAUAAAGAAAACCACCACUUCAUAAGUAUUGUAGUGACAAUACCAUUUAUGAAAUGUCCCUAUACAUAAAGCUCAAUAUGUACAGUAAACAAGUCACCACAAAGGUAUCAGGGUUGAUGCAUUUUAGUAAUAGUUGUAAAGUUUUUUUAAGAUGCAAUAAAUGUAUGAUGCAAAGUAUGGUUUGAAUAAAAAGCAGGUAAGUUUAAAUGUGUUCUACUCUAUAUUUAGAUGAUGUAGUUGGGGCAUGUUGGAAGAGUUAAAGAAAUUUAAUUGUGAAGUUACAUAAAUGGAUUAUUGUACAUCUUCAAAACUGUGCAACUGAAUACAUACUGGACAUUGGCUACAAUUAUAAAGUGAACUUGGUACCAUAUGUUGCACAUAAUAUAUAUGUGUAUUGCUAUUCGAAACGAGUGAGAAUUAUAGCUGAGCAAUAAACACCUGCGAAUUGAAAGGAGUCAUAACCAUGGAAUAAUCACAUUCUUCAUUAUUUCAUCACAUUCUUCAUUAUUUGGGUUAAAAUGUUUACUCCUGUACAAGGAUACAUAUAUAAUUGAUGUGUUUAAUUAAAUUAUUGAAAUAUUAAAAACUUAUAACACCUA
RNAcentral lists this long non-coding RNA (1561 nucleotides) under Gigantopelta aegis. RNAcentral describes it as "uncharacterized LOC121381959, transcript variant X1". Lineage: Eukaryota; Metazoa; Mollusca; Gastropoda; Neomphalida; Peltospiridae. The record is from RNAcentral.